Molecule: unclassified non-coding RNA, 183 nt
Filed under: uncultured fungus
Lineage: Eukaryota; Fungi
Description: sequence contains ITS1
Source: RNAcentral
GAGUGUUUGGUCACGUGCGCAAUGUCUUGCCCGUCGAUGGCGAUCCGGCCGCCGUCGAGAUCGUAGAAGCGCUGCAGGAGCGCGAAAAGCGUCGACUUGCCCGCCCCCGACGGGCCGACGAUGGCCGUCGCCCUGCCGGCCUUCGCCUCGAAACUCACCCCAUGCAGAACCGGCAUGUGCUCA